This 253-nucleotide ribosomal RNA is filed under the name uncultured bacterium. Its description in RNAcentral is "partial 16S ribosomal RNA". It matches the Rfam family "Bacterial small subunit ribosomal RNA", at positions 524 to 776 of the family's 1533-position model. The record is from RNAcentral.
CACGUAGGGUGCGAGCGUUGUCCGGAAUUAUUGGGCGUAAAGAGCUCGUAGGCGGUUUGUCGCGUCUGCCGUGAAAGUCCGGGGCUCAACUCCGGAUCUGCGGUGGGUACGGGCAGACUAGAGUGAUGUAGGGGAGACUGGAAUUCCUGGUGUAGCGGUGAAAUGCGCAGAUAUCAGGAGGAACACCGAUGGCGAAGGCAGGUCUCUGGGCCACUACUGACGCCGAGAAGCGAAAGCGUGGGGAGCGAACAGG